AAUUCGAUGGCUCGUUUGUUUAUCUCCGUCCCAUGCCCUCACGGGUGGUGGGCCGGACGCCAGGCAAGCCUCGUGUUCCCGGCACGCCUAGCCUAGCCCAGUUGCAUGGCUGCCUCGGCGCACGAGGCUCUUCGCCCGUGCUCUCGGAUUCGGAAUGUUAUGUGCUGCGGGUGGGUGGCUCAUCGGAGGCACUCCAUCCGGUCGAGCGAGGCAUUUUUGUCCAACGAGACGAACGACUGCUGCACCCGUCUUUGGGCCCGCGGCCUCACGGCUCGGCAGGGCUCAUG
RNAcentral lists this unclassified non-coding RNA (287 nucleotides) under Canarium compressum. RNAcentral describes it as "partial external transcribed spacer". The record is from RNAcentral. Lineage: Eukaryota; Viridiplantae; Streptophyta; Magnoliopsida; Sapindales; Burseraceae. RNAcentral also lists the same sequence under 2 other names.